Molecule: ribosomal RNA, 468 nt
Filed under: uncultured bacterium
Lineage: Bacteria
Description: partial 16S ribosomal RNA
Rfam family: Bacterial small subunit ribosomal RNA
Source: RNAcentral
GACGAACGCUGGCGGCGUGCUUAACACAUGCAAGUCGAACGGAAAGGCCCUGCUUUUGUGGGGUGCUCGAGUGGCGAACGGGUGAGUAACACGUGAGUAACCUGCCCUUGACUUUGGGAUAACUUCAAGAAACUUGGGCUAAUACCUGAUAUGAGCUCCUGCUGCAUGGUGGGGGUUGGAAAGUUUCGGCGGUUGGGGAUGGACUCGCGGCUUAUCAGCUUGUUGGUGGGGUAGUGGCUUACGAAGGCUUUGACGGGUAGCGGGCCUGAGAGGGUGACCGGACACAUUGGGACUGAGACAAGGGCCGGCAUCCUACAGGAGGAAGGAGUGGGGAAUGUUGCACAAUGGGCGGAAGCCUGAUGCAGCAACGCCGCGUGCGGGAUGACGGCCUUCGGGUUGUAACCCGCUUUCGCCUGUGACGAAGCGUGAGUGACGGUAAUGGGUAAAGAAGCACCGGCUAACUACGUG